UUAUAAUCGAGAAUCUUUGCUUCUGAAGACGGCUUUGCAAGCUGAGUACUAAUAGCGGUAGUACAAGCAGCAGUGGCUAUUCACCUGGUUCUCCGUGUUUACGAAAAUGAAGAUCAUCUCUGCCAUCGUGCUAUUGGUGUUUCUGAGAGGCUUCCUGGACAGCGCGUCUGUGAAGACGAGAAAAGGCGGACGACACUCAACAGGAUAUGCCUAUGGCUGUGCUUUGUUCGGCAUGAUAUGCAAGCACCACUGUAAAGGCCAAGGAUACUCUCAAGGCUACUGCAGUGGACGGCACCUUGGCACAUGCUUUUGCUCUGGGUAAUGAGAGAAAUCAAGCGCCGAUUGCAGAAAAAUAGUACCAGUAUGCAGAAACUCCUCAACGGUUUCGUUAUAAUCAUUUGUGCGCUUAUGGUGCUUUACCCAAAUAAAGCUCUAUGUCUAUUACUGCUAAUAAAA
Non-coding RNA from Dermacentor albipictus, 456 nucleotides. Lineage: Eukaryota; Metazoa; Arthropoda; Arachnida; Ixodida; Ixodidae. The record is from RefSeq and is a predicted model, not a curated record.